RNAcentral lists this unclassified non-coding RNA (520 nucleotides) under uncultured Glomus. RNAcentral describes it as "SSU rRNA". It matches the Rfam family "Eukaryotic small subunit ribosomal RNA", at positions 569 to 1096 of the family's 1831-position model. Lineage: Eukaryota; Fungi; Glomeromycota; Glomeromycetes; Glomerales; Glomeraceae. The record is from RNAcentral.
AGCAGCCGCGGUAAUUCCAGCUCCAAUAGCGUAUAUUAAAGUUGCUGCAGUUAAAAGCUCGUAGUUGAAUUUCGGGACUAAUAUGUCGGUCGUGCCUCGGUACGUACUGGUUUAUUGGUUUCUCCUUUCUGAAGAACCAUGAUGUCAUUUAUUUGGUGUCGUGGGGAAUCAGGACUGUUACUUUGAAAAAUUAGAGUGUUUAAAGCAGGCUCACACUUGAAUACAUUAGCAUGGAAUAAUGAAAUAGGACGUUUGAUUCUAUUUUGUUGGUUUCUAGGAUCGACGUAAUGAUUAAUAGGGAUAGUUGGGGGCAUUAGUAUUCAAUUGUCAGAGGUGAAAUUCUUGGAUUUAUUGAAGACUAACUACUGCGAAAGCAUUUGCCAAGGAUGUUUUCAUUAAUCAAGAACGAAAGUUAGGGAUCGAAGACGAUCAGAUACCGUCGUAGUCUUAACCAUAAACUAUGCCGACUAGGGAUCGGAUGAUGUUAAUUUUUAAUGACUCAUUCGGCGCCUUACGGGAA